UGGGGAAUAUUGGGCAAUGGGGGAAACCCUGACCCAGCGACGCCGCGUGAAGGAAGAAGGUCUUCGGAUUGUAAACUUCUGUUUGUGGGGAAGAAGAAAGUGACAUAACCCACAGAGAAAGCCACGGCUAACUACGUGCCAGCAGCCGCGGUAAUACGUAGGUGGCAAGCGUUAUCCGGAAUUACUGGGUGUAAAGGGUGAGUAGGCGGGAUUGCAAGUCAGAUGUGAAAUCUUUUGGCUCAACCAAAAAACUGCAUUUGAAACUGCAAUUCUUGAGAGUGGGAGAGGUAAGCGGAAUUCCCGGUGUAGCGGUGAAAUGCGUAGAGAUCGGGAGGAACACCAGUGGCGAAGGCGGCUUGCUGGACCACCACUGACGCUGAGGCACGAAAGCGUGGGUAGCAAACAGG
RNAcentral lists this ribosomal RNA (407 nucleotides) under uncultured prokaryote. RNAcentral's name for it is "bacterial SSU rRNA". It matches the Rfam family "Bacterial small subunit ribosomal RNA", at positions 355 to 776 of the family's 1533-position model. The record is from RNAcentral. RNAcentral also lists the same sequence under 1 other name.